CAAGAGGGAAACAGCCCAGACCACCAGCUAAGGGCCCCAAGCGCUGGCUAAGUGGAAAACGUUGUGCGAGUGCAUAGACAACCAGGAUGUUGGCUUAGAGGCAGCCAUUCGUCUAAGGAGUGCGUAAUAGCUCACUGGUCAAGUGCUCGUGCGCGGAUAAUGUAACGGGGCUCAAGCCAGCCCCCGAAGCUGUGGGCUUCGUCUUUGACGGAGCGGUAGGAGAGCGUUCCUCGUGCAGUGAAGCGGAUAGCGGCAAGCUUCCGUGGAGCGCGGGGAAGUGAGAAUGCAGGCAUAAGUAACGAAAGAGGAGUGAGAAACUCCUCCACCGGAUGCCCAAGGUUUCCUGAGUAAAGUUAAUCUGCUCAGGGUUAGUCGGGACCUAAGCCGAGGCCGACAGGCGUAGGCGAUGGAUAACAGGUUGAUAUUCCUGUACUGCGUCUUCCGCGCUAUUACCGAUGGGGGGACGGGGAAGGGUAGGCGAACCGUGGCGCUGGUAGUCCACGGACAACCCGGUAGGAGGAACCCUAGGAAAAUCCGGGGUUCAUAUACUCCGAGAGGGGAUGUCGGUCAGCGUAAGCUGGCAAGUCGUCGAGCCCAUGCCUCCGAGAAAAGCCUCUAGGGAGUCGGAACGCACCCGUACCAAAACCGACACAGGUGGGCAGGUAGAGUAUACCAAGGCGCUUGAGAGAACCGCGUUGAAGGAACUCGGCAAAAUUGCUCUGUAACUUCGGAAUAAGGAGUGACUUUAUUUCAGAUUUUUUAUAAAGUUGUCACUAAAGAGGGAGAAGCGACUGUUUAAUAAAAACACAAAUCUCUGCGAAUUCGAAAGAAGAUGUAUAGGGAUUGACACCUGCCCGGUGCUGUAAGGUAACAUGGAUAUGCUGUGGCGUUGAAAUUAAGCCCCAGUAAACGGCGGCUGUAACUCUGACGGUCCAAAGGUAGCGAAAUUCCUUGUCGGGUAAGUUCCGACCUGCAUGAAUGGUGUAAUGAUUUCUCCGCUGUCUCCAACACAAUCCUGGUGAAUUUGAAAUACCCGUGAAGAUGCGGGUUAUUUACAGUUAGACGGGAAGACCCCGUGCACCUUUACUAUAAUCUUAAGUUGUGAAAUUGAAUAUUCUGUGUAGAAUAGGUGGGA
RNAcentral lists this ribosomal RNA (1135 nucleotides) under marine metagenome. RNAcentral's name for it is "bacterial LSU rRNA". It matches the Rfam family "Bacterial large subunit ribosomal RNA", at positions 1012 to 2152 of the family's 2925-position model. The record is from RNAcentral.